ACAUCUCUGCUGUAGGUUCCUCAGAAGUUUUGCAGGGAAGCCAUCCAGAGAGGUUUCUGGUUACAUACUUCUCUGAGCAAGGCUUAACAUUUGCAGUGAACUCAAAAAGUGUGAAAAGACAUUACUCAAGGAUUUAAUAGGUCUCAGCCCAACACAAUGAAGGAUUUUGGUGUAUCAAUAUUAAGCAAUAUCAGAGGCAGGAAGCUGUAACAUCAAGUUUUUUGUAUUUGCAACUGUGUAUAAUAUCUCAUUGAGCUUUGGUUUUAGUUACAGGGUAUAUUUGCAACAUUGGGUAAAAGUUAAGAUGUCACUUCUAAAAUGCUAAGAUUUUUGUCUUUGGAAUAUGGAAUAUGCCAAAGGAAUGAUAACAUCUCAUCUCACCUCAACUGAAAAGAUCAGAAAUCACUUUGUUUCAAGCUCAAUGAAGCUGGAAUAUUUCAACAAUAUUCUAGAAAGAUUUGAAAGGCACAUUUGGAGCCCAGUCUUGUGAACAAGACGUUGAUCAAGCAGGAUCAAUUGACUUGCUUUUUAAAAGGAGAGUUGAGGGUCACCAUACUUUUUCCAAUAUUAAAGUAAUUUAAGUAAACAUUUGUUCCAUUCACCAAAUGCAAAGGUUCACCAAAUGUAGCCAAUGACCAUCCACUGCAGUUUUUCUGGCUACUAAAAUAUUACAUGUGAACCUCCUUGACAUUUUCCGUCAUCAUCCUGGCUGUGUAAUCUUGUGAAACUAAUGACUUGCAUUUCUUCAACACUCCCCCCCCCUUCACUUCGCCGAUGUAGAGUGUGUUAUUAAUGGUGUGAGUUGAAACAUAUGGAGUGGGACUACUUUGCCAGUGAUGCACUUGGGAGUGUGAAAAAAAAUGCUUAUUUAUGAACUGAGCGAUGAUUCUUUCCACCUCUCUCUGUCAAGUGUACUGGCUGUUGCAAAUGACCUGUUUUCAGCACUGUUUUCAUUGGAUGAUUGUUGGGCAUGUGUAACUAAGGCCUGGGUUCAUCGUGGUCAAGGCCGUGUCCAAUGAGCAACUGUUUGUUCAGUCAAUCCAUACAGUAUGGCUCCCAGGAUGCAACCCAAGAACGUGUAGCCUGGAAAAAGAGGCAGCUAACAAUCAUCUGGACAAGUUUCAUAUCCCCAUUAUUGGUUGGAUGGCCUUCGCCCUUGUGGUCUGCAUACCCAAAAGAGGAGUGGGCAGAAGGAGUAAAAAAAGAAAAGCUCACUGAACUUGACAAAGGGUGUCCCCCCCACAGAUGCAGAAUGAUAAAUGACUAUUUAGUUGUGGAGGGGGGGCUUUCAGGAGACUAUGAGGUGUCUUGUUAUGGUAGGGAUUGUAAUAAGGUAUCAGUGAUGCCGAGGUAGACAUAUCUGGGUUUAUCUCAAGGGCAGAGUCUGAACUUUCUACUUUAAAUUAUCUGGAAGCUUGACUCUACUGUUUCUUUAGUUCUCUCUUGGUGUCUGGACUAUAUAUGUGCCUGUUAAGAAGGACUAGUUGUGUUUUCAAAUUGUAGAGUUUAAAGAUGAACAUAGUAUUGGGAUUUAGUGCAUAUUGGUAUAAUGGCAUUUUGAUCGUCACUUUUGUCUUCUGGGGGCAAGGAUGAGAUGGGUGCCCUGUUCUUGACAUUAGUUUCAAUUUACACAUGUUAACACAUUUGAGCAAAGAUUGUCAAGAUUUUUUUUCUCAGACCAUGAAUACUUCAGUUGACAGCAGAUCCAAAACUGUCCUUUUCCCUGUUUUCCCACAUGCUUCAUUAAUCCCACACACUGGCAAGACCUUGACGACAAAUUUUAUGAUCUCAUUUCAUCCUCGUCAAAGGAGAAUGCCUAGAAGAACUGUGACACGGCAGAAGUGGGCCUGUUGUCUGCUCAGUUCAACGACAAACCCUCAACCUGAUGUGCACUUAGUGGUCAUGCUCUGGUUAGUUUCCUGAAGAGUUGGGGACGACUGCGGCAUUGUCCAGAUUGGUUUGGGUUACAUCAAGGAAAGGACUAACAAUGUGAAAUACCGAAGGCUGUUAACAGGUGUGGAAAGAGCUACUUUGAACCCCCAAUCCACCCUUGCUGUAUCCCAACACUAUCAUACUUGCAAGUUUGUUCACUGACAUCUCAUCACCCCAGAACAGCUGUUGAUAUUGGUUCCUGCAGUGCCCACAGUAAGCCAGGUAUAGUUCAGGGCCAAGUGUAUUAUGGUUGCACUAAAGUGUGAAUUUAGCCACCUUCCCCCAAAGGUACAGUUUUUGGUUUUUUUUUUCUUGCACAAAAACCUGAUUAUACCGUGGACCCUUAUAGCUCUGCAUCUCAAUGAGUUUUCCUACUGCACUACCUGGUGUACCAUAAAUAUUACCUUGCAAGUUUGAUGUGGUAUCUGAAAUUUCUGAAUUUUAUAGCAAGAUUUUAAGAAUUCAUUUUGAUUUUUUUUCAGGCAGAAUCCAAUGCAUAAGAUUAAGCCAGUCAUGAGAAAAGCAUGACGUAUAAUUAUCAUGGUCAGUGGAGGAUUACAGUGAACGGCAGAUAAUAUUAUUGUUUGGUUUGGAGCUGACGUAUACUCAAAUAUGUUGGUUGACUGAUUUGUUCAUCUGUCAGUUCAUAUGCAUUGCUGUUUUGUUGGUGUGUUUGGUUAGUUGAUGAGUGGGGGGAUUGGCACCCAAUAGUUCAUCAGGCAAUCGGUUCAUUAGUCAGCUCUGGGAUCAGUUACACAGGGUGGUCAUCUUGUUCUUUGCUCAGUCAGCCAUGUAAUCAGUCACGUGAGAUGCU
Long non-coding RNA from Acanthaster planci (crown-of-thorns starfish), 2746 nucleotides. Lineage: Eukaryota; Metazoa; Echinodermata; Asteroidea; Valvatida; Acanthasteridae. The record is from RefSeq and is a predicted model, not a curated record.